Molecule: ribosomal RNA, 253 nt
Filed under: uncultured bacterium
Lineage: Bacteria
Description: partial 16S ribosomal RNA
Rfam family: Bacterial small subunit ribosomal RNA
Source: RNAcentral
UACGGAGGAGGCAAGCGUUAUCCGGAAUUAUUGGGCGUAAAGCGUCCGCAGGUGGCGAUUCAAGUCUGCGGUCAAAGACUGGGGCUUAACCCUGGAAAGGCCGUGGAAACUGAAAAGCUAGAGUGCAGUAGGGGUAGAGGGAAUUCCCGGUGUAGCGGUGAAAUGCGUAGAGCUCGGGAAGAACAUCGGUGGCGAAAGCGAUCUGCUGGACUGCAACUGACACUCAGGGACGAAAGCUAGGGGAGCGAAUGGG